CUCCUAAAAUUAUAGUUUAGUUGUAGUUUUUCUAAACUGCAAUGCAAUAAUCAUUAAUAUAGUAUAGGAAUGCUAUCGUGUUCCCGUAAAGGCGUUCUGUCUUGUGCUUUGGAAUGCGCGAAUAGAACUUUGCUCCCAGGCUUUUCCCGCCUUUAUGCUCGCAAUGCGCGAAUGGAACUUUGCCCACUCGGCUUCCGCGCCUUUUUUGCUCGCAGGUGUAGCCUCAGACAACGAAUGUGUGAGCAUAGAAAGGGUCAUGUAUUACAUAAGCCUGGAGGUGAUGUUGAGUGGUUUCACUUAUUAUUAUUUUAAAAGAGCAGUGGUAGUUUACUGUAAUUCUAAUGACCAUGAUGAGCCUUUGGGGUGAAAAUCGUUAAUAUGUAGGGUGCUUUUUUGUUGAAUUUUAAUGAGAGAAUGAAUGUCAUUAAGAGUAGGACAAAGGAAAUAAUCUUGCGAUUCAAUAAAUAAUAGGAGUGUCUUCUUCUUCUUCAGACAGGAUGUGAUGACGUCACACAGUCUGUAGCAAUGCAUUGACCGUUACCGGAAAAAAGUGUGGCAAUAGAAAAAUAGUGUGUAUUGUCCUGGGCAGAUUUAUGAUGAGCACUGUUUUUGAAUAAGAGGAGUGCGUGUGCUUAGAAAUAGUUUGAUGCUGGUUUCCUUCUUUGUUUCUUUUCGCUUUUUCCCCCCUUGUCUGACAAACAUGUGCUGACAUGCCUGGGCUUGUUCUGACAUGCUUUCCUUCUGCAUGUAGUUUUUUUCUUUUUGUACAAGGCAUAUUCUUGACGAUAGUGCUGCCUUGAAUGGGAGUAGAGCUAUUCUUAAUAAUUUUGCGAUUCAUUUAGUUCAGAGAGUAACCGCGAGGGGGACAGGUGUGUGACUUUAUGUCUUGCUGAACCAUUUUUUUUUUUCCUGUACAGUAAGACUUUGGGAAUGAAAUGCUACAAUCUCCUCUUGUCUAUGGUGUUUUUCUGCAAUAGUUCCCUACGCAAUCAUUAUAGUAGAAUAAAGGAAAUAAUCUAGGGAUAGUGAUUCAAUAAAUAACAGGUGCCCUGUCUAGAGCGUACGCGUCCUUGAGCCACGCACCUGCAUGAUGACCGCAUACCGAGAGACUAUUGUUUCAGGUUGACCUUGUCUAGAGGAGCAUUAGUGGAAAAAAACUGUGUAGCCCUGAGACAAUAGGAUGACGUUACGACCAAUGAGAACGGCCUGCAGGGGGCGCAAGGAUUCACUUCUCUCUUGGACACUGACGGGUCUCGACACGCAAAUUCUGCUCCUGGCGUUGGCCGUCAGUGGAAGAGCGUAGCUUCGGUGGGGUUCUGUCUGCCUCUGAUGGGGUGCGGAUGUGUGGUUCGUCACUGGUGAAUGGUGUUCGACGAUGCAGGUGGAUUUUGUGACGAGCGGAUUUACAAUGAAGGAAUGCUGUGAACGGGAAAAAUGAUGGUGAGUGCCUUUUUCACUCUGUUCAAGUGUUUGUUUUCCUCUGUUGCCCAGCAGUCGUACGAUUUGUCCUGACGUGUCCUGAUAUGCCCCGAUAUGCAUGCUUUCCUUUGUUGACGCUUAGUAUUUUUUUCUUUUUUGACAAGGAACAUUGUCGUCUUGACGAUAGUGCUGCCCCGAGUUCUGCGCGCGUUGAUUUGUUGAGUGCCUAGUCCUCUUAUUAGCCAUUGAUGGAGUUACAUGUUAGGAUGUUUUGUUCUUUUGCAAGUCUCAUUUAGUAAGACUUUGGAAUUCCUACGAUCAGUUUUCAUGCAUGGUGCUCUUCUGCAAUAGUUUCCUAUGCAAUCGUUAUAGAAGAAUAAAGGAAAUAAUCUUGGGAUAGUGAUUCAAUAAAUAAUAGGUCCCCUGUCUAGAGCGCACGCGUCCUUGAGCCACGCAGGUGCAUGAUGACGUCAUACCGUGGCUUCACUGCAGAUUGACCAAAGGAGCAUUAGUGGAAAAAAAAACAGUGUAGCCCUGAGACAAUAGGAUGAUGUCUGGACCAAUGAGAACGGCCAGCAGGGGGCGCAGGAAUGCUCUUCUCACUUAGCCUCACGACCAAUGAGAACGGGCAGCAGGGGGCGCAGGAAUGCUCUUCUCUCUUAGCCCCUCGCAGGUGGCGGUAGGAGCGCGCAGAGGGCGCUACGAGCGCGCGCAUGCGUAGCACCCGUAGAGUGGCGCUUACGUCAGUCCACCUCUGGCUCUCGUUGGGAGAAGACGUGCGGUCGUUCGCUCCGUCGUCACUUGAUCCCUGGCUGUCGACGAGAGCAGUCGCAUCGGUCUGCGCUCCUGCUGUGAGCUGUCCUAACUUGCCCAGACAUGCCAUGAUGACGUCACAGCUGACGUCACAGGAUGUGCGGAACUGGUGCUGCGAUGCUUUGCAACCUGCCUCUGUGCUCCGUCGCCCAGCGACGGUCAGCGGCCGUUCCGGGCCGCUUUCUUCAAGAUGACGUCGUUGAUCUUCAACUAAACUCCUUCUCUCCACUCUAUCUCUAUCUUUUCAUUUUAUUUUCUACCUAUUUUUUAUUUUUUGUCAGCUCAAGUAGCCGGCAACUCACAUCUUCGUCUGGACGUGUCUUAGAUGGUCCCCAAUUAGUGUAAUGACUCUCUGGAGGGUCCCGAUUAAUGUGGGGGGUCCCAAUUAGCUCUAAUUGCUAAUUAAUGGCGUCCAGACGAAGAUGUGACUUGCCGGCUUCUUGAGCUGAUACAUUACUACUCACGGUAUCGGGCUUUUUCGUGAAUCGUCACUUUUCAACUCUCCGAUUUCACAACCAAGGCAGCCCUGCCGGAGAAUGGCGAUGUUCGCGACAAUGUUCAUAAUAUAGCAGGUGUCCACCAUAGCUGGAACCAACACCGUGAACUCAUUUGGUGACUUCCGUCACGAAUUCAGAGUUCCACAUACUCAAAUUUGACAGGCGAGCAGCAGAACAAAUCAUUAACUGCAGUGUCAACAGAAUCCUGAUAGCCGGCGAAAAAUACAAUAAACGAUUCGUCCAGACUCGGUACUCUCGUUCCCAGCCUACCGCAAAGAGCCACACCCUGCGGGGAACUAUUUUCGGACGCGGGAGUCAGAAGCCUUCGUUAAUCUCAGACUGUCGUGCCUGUCGACUAAUCAGAGACGAUUUAUUUUGAAAGUUUGAAUCUGAAGCGUUUGUAUCGCAAGAGUUGAUUUUUACGGCUUUAUCUUUACACCGUGGAUUUUGUCGUCAUUUAUUUCGAGGAGUUUAUUCACGAAGUUUAUUUUGCGAAGUGUAAACCAGAGUGAUCCCGUUGGGGGUUGGACGCGUUGCGAUGAGUUCGCUUUGUCUUCGGAUGCUGUAGCAAGAAUCGUGUAACUUCUGUGCAGUAUUUGCUUGUGUUUUAGUGCUCUUUCUAAGACAAUGCGAUGACAGUGGUCCCUGCACAACACAUUGUCAAUUUCCCGGAAGAGUUUUCACAAGAAACGGACGGGGAAACGCCAACCGGACAGCACGUGGUGGUGCUUCUGAUGUUCGAAGAAACUUAGGAGGAACUCAAAGAGAUACUGAUUCCGAACGUAUCGUGAAGAGGAAACGGGUAUAUGCGACCUGCAUGGAAAACAGGAACGUCAUCUUCUCUGAGAAAAUAGAAGAUGUGAGGUGGCCAACAAAACGUAAAGCUCCCUGUGGUCCGCGAGUGCAUCGCACAGUCAGGCAUAUGCUUUGUCUAGACACAGUGACCAGACUUAUACUACGUAGUACGCAUGU
Ornithodoros turicata is the source of this 3701-nucleotide long non-coding RNA. RefSeq lists it as uncharacterized. Lineage: Eukaryota; Metazoa; Arthropoda; Arachnida; Ixodida; Argasidae. The record is from RefSeq and is a predicted model, not a curated record. The transcript is spliced from 3 exons.